CCGGCCGCCGGGGGCGCGGCGUGGCCCGCUCCCUCUCGUCUUGAACCUUCUUUACAGUAUACCUAUAAUGUCUGAGUAAAACCACAGAAUCGUUAAAACUUUCAACAACGGAUCUCUUGGUUCUGGCAUCGAUGAAGAACGCAGCGAACUGCGAUAAGUAAUGCGAAUUGCAGAAUUCAGCGAGCCAUCGAAUCUUUGAACGCACAUUGCGCCCGCCAGCAUUCUGGCGGGCAUGCCUGUCCGAGCGUCAUUUCCUCCCUCACGCAGCACGCCUGCGUGGUGUUGGGGCGUUCUGCGGCCCGGCUUGCGCCUAGCGUAUGCCGCCGCAGCCCCCGAAAGCCAGUGGCGGGCCGGCAGCGGGCUCCGAGCGCAGUAAGCAGCAGUGCCCUCGCUUUGGACGCCCCCGCCUGCGCCCUGCCCUUAUUUUGGCAGACGUAAGUCUGCCUCCUUACUCAAGGUUGACCUCUGGAUCAGGUA
Molecule: ribosomal RNA, 477 nt
Filed under: Leptographium europhioides
Lineage: Eukaryota; Fungi; Ascomycota; Sordariomycetes; Ophiostomatales; Ophiostomataceae
Description: eukaryotic LSU rRNA
Rfam family: 5.8S ribosomal RNA (bases 97-250)
Source: RNAcentral